This 694-nucleotide ribosomal RNA is filed under the name uncultured bacterium. Its description in RNAcentral is "bacterial SSU rRNA". It matches the Rfam family "Bacterial small subunit ribosomal RNA", at positions 32 to 715 of the family's 1533-position model. The record is from RNAcentral.
AACGCUAGCUACAGGCUUAACACAUGCAAGUCGAGGGGUAACGAAAGGGAAGCUUGCUUUCCUUGUCGACGACCGGCGCACGGGUGAGUAACGCGUAUCCAACCUGCCCACAACUAAGGAAUAACCUUGCGAAAGUAAGACUAAUACCUUAUAAUUUCCUCUGAAGGCAUCGGACGAGGAAUAAAGAUUUAUCGGUUAUGGAUGGGGAUGCGUCUGAUUAGCUUGUUGGCGGGGUAACGGCCCACCAAGGCAACGAUCAGUAGGGGUUCUGAGAGGAAGGUCCCCCACAUUGGAACUGAGACACGGUCCAAACUCCUACGGGAGGCAGCAGUGAGGAAUAUUGGUCAAUGGGCGAGAGCCUGAACCAGCCAAGUAGCGUGCAGGAAGACGGCCCUAUGGGUUGUAAACUGCUUUUAUAAGGGAAUAAAGUGAGUCUCGUGAGACUUUUUGCAUGUACCUUAUGAAUAAGGACCGGCUAAUUCCGUGCCAGCAGCCGCGGUAAUACGGAAGGUCCGGGCGUUAUCCGGAUUUAUUGGGUUUAAAGGGAGCGUAGGCCGGAGAUUAAGCGUGUUGUGAAAUGUAGACGCUCAACGUCUGCACUGCAGCGCGAACUGGUUUCCUUGAGUACGCACAAAGUGGGCGGAAUUCGUGGUGUAGCGGUGAAAUGCUUAGAUAUCACGAAGAACUCCGAUUG